UGGGGAAUAUUGCACAAUGGGCGCAAGCCUGAUGCAGCCAUGCCGCGUGUAUGAAGAAGGCCUUCGGGUUGUAAAGUACUUUCAGUCGGGAGGAAGGUGGUAAGGUUAAUAACCUUAUCAAUUGACGUUACCGACAGAAGAAGCACCGGCUAACUCCGUGCCAGCAGCCGCGGUAAUACGGAGGGUGCAAGCGUUAAUCGGAAUUACUGGGCGUAAAGCGCACGCAGGCGGUUGAUUGAGUCAGAUGUGAAAUCCCCGGGCUUAACCCGGGAACUGCGUUCGAAACUGGCAGGCUAGAGUCUUGUAGAGGGGGGUAGAAUUCCAGGUGUAGCGGUGAAAUGCGUAGAGAUCUGGAGGAAUACCGGUGGCGAAGGCGGCCCCCUGGACAAAGACUGACGCUCAGGUGCGAAAGCGUGGGGAGCAAACAGG
RNAcentral lists this ribosomal RNA (429 nucleotides) under Chloroflexota bacterium. RNAcentral's name for it is "Chloroflexi bacterium partial 16S ribosomal RNA". It matches the Rfam family "Bacterial small subunit ribosomal RNA", at positions 355 to 776 of the family's 1533-position model. Lineage: Bacteria; Bacillati; Chloroflexota. The record is from RNAcentral.